ACUGCUCAGUAACACGUAGCUAACCUAACCUUGAGUCAGGGAUAACCUCGGGAAACUGAGGCUAAUACCUGAUAGGAGAUUUUAUCUGGAAAGAUAUUUCUCAAAAAUUCGAGCUCAAGGAUGGGGCUGCGGCUGAUUAGGUUGUUGGUGGGGUAAUGGCCCACCAAGCCGAUGAUCAGUAGGGGCUCUUAGCGGAGUCGCCCCGAGAGGGAAUCUGAGACACUAUUCCCAGCUCUACGGAGUGCAGCAGUCGCGAAUCUUUUGCAAUGCACGAAAGUGUGACAAAGCGAACCAAAGUGCUUUCUGCACAAGAAAGCUUUUCUUCACUUUAAAAAGGUGGAGGAAUAAGGACUGGGUAAGACCGGUGCCAGCCGCCGCGGUAAUCCCGGCAGUCCAAGUUGCAGCCAACAUUAUUGGGUCUAAAACAUCCGUAGCUUGUUUAUUAAGUUUCUUGUGAAAUUCUGUGUCUCAAGCACAGAGCUUGCAAGAAAUACUGAUAAGCUUGAGACCGGUAGAUGUAGAGAGUACAUUCAAGGUAGUGGUAAAAUACGUUAAUCUUGAAUGGACUAACAAUUGGCGAAGGCACUCUGCAAGGACGGAUCUGACAGUGAGGGAUGAAGGCCAGGGGCGCAAAACGGAUUAGAUACCCGUGUAGUCCUGGCAGUAAACACUGCUCACUAAACAUCGGUCUCUCUUCGGGAGAAAUCGGUGCUGAAGCGAAGGCGAAGAGUGAGCUACCUGGGAAGUAUAGUCGCAAGAUCGAAACUUAAAGGAAUUGGCGGGGGAGCAC
This 790-nucleotide ribosomal RNA is filed under the name uncultured archaeon. Its description in RNAcentral is "bacterial SSU rRNA". It matches the Rfam family "Archaeal small subunit ribosomal RNA", at positions 85 to 879 of the family's 1478-position model. The record is from RNAcentral.